CAUAUAACACACUGCCUAGGGCUGGGUUUUGUCCUUCUAGUACAGAGAGCUGUUAGGUGGUGAUCUGUGGGACUUGGAUGUUGGUAAAAGUUUUGGACCUGGAUAUCGGUGAAGUUUUGGACUCGGAUGCUGGUGACUUCUUGUACUUGACAGAUUGGUCUUGGUACGAGCAUUUAUAUCGACAAAGAUGAGGAAGUGGGAAAUGGCUCAAGGCAACACCCUACAGUACAACUCCUUUGACGAAGAGGCUUUAACAGAGCACUAUCAAAUCCUAAAGACCCUUGGUCGGGGAGCAUUUGGAGAAGUAAAAUUGGCUAGCCAUCUACUCACCCAGACAAAGGUAGCAGUAAAAGUUCUCCCAAAAAGCUCAAAGAACAUCUUCAUCAAAUCAGAAAUUGAAAUAAUGAAAUCUCUAGACCAUCCCAAUAUCAUUAAACUUCUUCACAUAAUCGACACCACAAAAAACACUUACCUGGUUAUGGAGCAUGCCAUAGGCGGAGAGCUGAUGGCCAGGAUUGUGGAGUUUGGCUACCUACCUGAGGACGAGUCCCGUAAGGUAUUUAAACAGAUGGUGUGUGCCCUUCAGUAUUGUCACAGGAAAGGGAUUGCUCACAGGGAUCUAAAGCCUGAAAAUAUUUUAGUGGACGGCAAAGGAAAUAUAAAACUCAGUGAUUUUGGGCUGGGCACCAAGCUUCCCAUGGGGCAGAAGCUAGCAUAUUUCUGUGGGACCCUUCCUUAUUGCGCCCCAGAACUCUUUGAAGGUGGAGGCUACGAUGGCCGAGCAAUCGACAUCUGGAGUUUGGGAGUUGUACUCUACUUUAUGUCUACAGGGUGCCUCCCUUUCAAGGGAACUACCUUUGGAAUACUAAAGGACAAAAUCUUGGCAGGAAAGUACCCCGUUAAUUUCAAGCUGUCGCCAGAGCUUUGGGAUGUUAUUGCUAAGUUGUUAACCGUAAAUCCUGGAGAAAGACCAAGAAUAGGUGACGUUGUGGGCUUUCAAUGGCUGAAGCAUGGCAAUGAAGGUUCUCCCAAUCCCUUUAGAGAGAACAAUGAGGACAGCUACCCAGACCCCACUGUGAUGGUCAUCAUGGGCGUCAUGGGUUAUAAGCAAGGAGAGAUAAUGGAAGCUUUACGGGAGAAGAAGUUUGAUCAAGUGAUGGCCACCUACUUGAUUCUUAGGCAGCAGUCACCCUGGGAAGAUGACAUUAUAAAACAUCUUCGGCCCAAGCAGUCUGCUGGAACCUUGAACCUUAAAGGCCUUCCCACAAUACCUAAAGUGACUAUAAAGAGGGGAUCUAGUGUCCCUAUCCUUCCCACUUCUUCCAUUUUGCCCACUCUACCUGAGAGUCCCGAGAAUGACAAAAAGGGGAAAACGAGGUACAGUAUGCCUCCCACCGUGAACUGCCCUGACAAGAAAACAGCCCCAGUUCACAGAAUCUGCCCCCAGCGUGUACAUGAGGCUACUUUCAUGAACAGCGCCCGGGGGGAUUCAGAGAGCACUAUUAACACCUCCGAUGAAAUAUGUACCACAGUGUCUUCAGCACUGGAAACUUAUUCCAGCAAGUUAUCCUGGAAUGUGUCCAAAGCUGGCCCUAACAAAUCAAAGAGCAAGGCGUCCUCACAGGAUGUUUUAUCUCAUCACACCCCAAUGGAGGAAGUUCAGUGCCAAGACGUCAACAUACCAGGUGAAAUUAUUGGCUCAUCUCUCCCACAAACCUCACCUCAGGAGGACCUCAGAGGACAGCCCCACAGCAUGUCUACUGCUAGUCGGAGAGGUGAAAGGACCAGCUCAUCGCUCUCACAAACCGCACCUCAGGAGGACCUCAGAGGACAGCCCCACAGAGUGGCUACAGCUAGUCGGAGAGGUGAAAGGACCAGGUCAUCUCUCCUACAAACUGCACCUCAGGAGGACCUCAGAGGACAGCCCCACAGUGUGGCUACAGCUGUUUCAAAGAACAUGACCUCACAGGAUAGAUCACCCCCAUUCUCCAGCAAGGAGGCCCAGGAUGAGGGUCUCAUCGUACAAGAAAAAGACCUCAGCCCAUCCUCCCCAGAAACAUCCCAGGGACACCUCAGUGGCCGGUGCCAGACUGCACCCAGAGCCCCCUUUAGAAAGCGGAUUUGGAAGAGCCUACAGAGCAGGAUUAUAAAAGGCCUGAGAAGUUUAUGCUGCUGCAUACCAACAGAAAAGAGGGAGCGCCUAGGCUGCAACAAAAUCCUGCCUGUGACCUUAGAGGGCCAUGGAGGGAGCCAAGGUAACAGUGCUGUUGGAGGCACUGUGCUCCCCCUAAGCUGAAACCAGAGAAUGGGGAGCAGCAUGCUGAGGAUGCACACGGGCGCUGGAGAGAGCCAGGAAAACAGGCCUCAGAGGACCUUCCACGCACAGUGUGAUCGUCAUUCCAGCUACCUGUCUCCAGGUGUACCAUGAGCCAUUAGAAGAGAGAGCGGCACCGGAAGCAGAGGAGGACCCCAGAGGGCCUGCCCAGUUUGUAUGUGUUCACGAUGAAUAUUGCUGACCAGGUUGGAGCCAGACACAGAGGGACGAGUUUGCAGGGAGUGUCCAUCUUGUGCUCAUUUGGGAAGGUAGAGUGUGUGAGAACAGGAGUCAUAUGAAGCCAACACAUGCCAUGGUGCACAUUUUGCCCCAGGGCAUCCGGUCCUGUGCAAGGUAAGGCCCACCAGCUGUGCUUUGAGUGGAAGCAAGGUGAAGUCUGGAGUGUUUGACAGUUGGAUUCAGAGAUGGAGCUGGUUCCAAGCGUGAUCGUGGAUAGAAUCUGUUGAUGGAAAAACAAUGGCAACCCCCGGCCUGACAGUGCGGGUGUUCCUCUGGGUGGCUCAUGGUCUCCUGCCAUAUUUCCACCUCCUAAGAUAUCUCAGAGACACCUAAAGAGAUUUAAGGGGUCAGAUUCACACCCCUCCUUAGGCCCACACUCUAGUACACCCCAAGACCACACUUUAGUACACCCCAAGACCACACUCUACUACACCCCAAGAUACUAUUUUCAAUAGUAUCUCACACAAAGAUCCCAGCCGUUUUCUUUCUGACAUCCUGUAGGGACAUUACUGUUGCUGAGGCUUUGUGUCCCCAGGCAGCAGGCUGGGAAAGUCCUUUGCUGCCUGUAUGACCCUAUGCUGGGGCUACCAAAGAGACUCCUGGGACUACACUCAGCAAGGGACAUUUUCAACUGGAUGGUGCUUAGAGCAGGAGAUGCCACUCAAGCCCUAACACACUGGAUGGAAGAGGGACACACAGGUCUCCUUGAUAAAAGAGGCUUCUUCUGAUUGACAGAGAAGUUGGGCCAGAGACUCACAAGCAGAUGGACUAAAGAGGAACAAGGGAAAAUGUCUACUGAUCCAGGUGAAGAUCAGCCAUGGAGGAUAUGCUCAGAGAGCUGGGCAUAAGAUUGCUCUGCAGAAGUGUUACCAAGAAAGACAGGCACCAGACAAAAAGAUAUACGGCACAAAUAUCUGAAUAAAGAGACUGUUUUCUUGCUACAAUAAAUUCCUUUGUAUAUUUGAA
RNA transcript from Peromyscus eremicus (cactus mouse), 3520 nucleotides. It is a transcript of the gene named sperm motility kinase X-like, with no coding region annotated. The transcript is spliced from 7 exons. The record is from RefSeq and is a predicted model, not a curated record. NCBI's taxonomy places the organism in Eukaryota, Metazoa, Chordata, Mammalia, Rodentia, Cricetidae.